CCUACGGGAGGCUGCAGUAGGGAAUAUUGCUCAAUGGGGGAAACCCUGAAGCAGCAACGCCGCGUGGAGGAUGAAGGUUUUAGGAUUGUAAACUCCUUUUGUUAGAGAAGAUUAUGACGGUAUCUAACGAAUAAGCACCGGCUAACUCCGUGCCAGCAGCCGCGGUAAUACGGAGGGUGCAAGCGUUACUCGGAAUCACUGGGCGUAAAGAGUGCGUAGGCGGGGUAAUAAGUCAGAUGUGAAAUCCUGUAGCUUAACUACAGAACUGCAUUUGAAACUGUUACUCUGGAGUGUGGGAGAGGUAGGUGGAAUUCUUGGUGUAGGGGUAAAAUGCGUAGAGAUCAAGAGGAAUACUCAUUGCGAAGGCGACCUGCUGGAACAUUACUGACGCUGAUGCACGAAGGCGUGGGGAGCAAACAGGAUUAGAUACCCCAGUAGUC
Molecule: ribosomal RNA, 440 nt
Filed under: uncultured bacterium
Lineage: Bacteria
Description: partial 16S ribosomal RNA
Rfam family: Bacterial small subunit ribosomal RNA
Source: RNAcentral